GGAUUGUUCAUGAGAUUUGGUAUCGGUUGGCUCGAUAAUUGAUCUGGUCACUCCUCAUGGUGGACUCAACUAACUAUCCUAUUUGUGCUUCUAGUCUAACAAUGGAUUGCUAUUAGAUCAUAAUCAUUUAUUGAAGUUGGUUAAAUCUAUCGUCGGCUAGAGAAGUCUGUUGAGGAUGUGGUAUGAAGGCUGAUUAUAAUAGGAUGGCUGAAUAGGCCGACUAGGCUGACCUCUAUUA
This 238-nucleotide long non-coding RNA is filed under the name Elaeis guineensis (African oil palm). Its description in RNAcentral is "long non-coding RNA (EGUI_LNC033799)". The record is from RNAcentral. Lineage: Eukaryota; Viridiplantae; Streptophyta; Magnoliopsida; Arecales; Arecaceae.